Molecule: ribosomal RNA, 328 nt
Filed under: uncultured eukaryote
Lineage: Eukaryota
Description: partial 18S ribosomal RNA
Rfam family: Eukaryotic small subunit ribosomal RNA
Source: RNAcentral
CCCUUAGAUGUCCUGGGCCGCACGCGCGUUACACUGAUGCAUUCAACGAGCUUAUAGCCUUGGCCGAGAGGCCUGGGCAAUCUUGUUAACGUGCAUCGUGAUAGGGAUAGAUUAUUGAAAUUAUUAAUCUUGAACGAGGAAUUCCUAGUAAACGCAGAUCAUCAAUCUGCAUUGAUUACGUCCCUGCCCUUUGUACACACCGCCCGUCGCACCUACCGAUUGGAUGGUCCGGUGAAGCCUCGGGAUUGUGGUUCUUGCCGCUUUAUUGUAGCGUGACCGCGAGAACUUGUCUAAACCUUAUCAUCUAGAGGAAGGUGAAGUCGUAACA